RNAcentral lists this ribosomal RNA (253 nucleotides) under uncultured bacterium. Its description in RNAcentral is "partial 16S ribosomal RNA". It matches the Rfam family "Bacterial small subunit ribosomal RNA", at positions 524 to 776 of the family's 1533-position model. The record is from RNAcentral.
GACGAACUGUCCUAACGUUGUUCGGAAUCACUGGGCUUAAAGGGCGCGUAGGCGGUCCAACAAGUCAGGGGUGAAAUCUUGCAGCUCAACUGUAAAAGUGCCUUUGAUACUGUUGGUCUUGAGGGAAAUAGGGGUGUGCGGAACUUCCAGUGGAGCGGUGAAAUGCGUUGAUAUUGGAAGGAACGCCGGAGGCGAAAGCGGCGCACUGGAUUUCUUCUGACGCUGAGGCGCGAAAGCUAGGGGAGCAAACGGG